AUACAACUUUCAACAACGGAUCUCUUGGCUCUCGCAUCGAUGAAGAACGCAGCGAAAUGCGAUAAGUAAUGUGAAUUGCAGAUUUUCAAGUGAAUCAUCGAAUCUUUGNACGCACCUUGCNCUCCUUGGUAUUCCGAGGAGCAUGCCUGUUUGAGU
RNAcentral lists this ribosomal RNA (156 nucleotides) under uncultured fungus. Its description in RNAcentral is "5.8S ribosomal RNA". It matches the Rfam family "5.8S ribosomal RNA". Rfam says of the family: 5.8S ribosomal RNA (5.8S rRNA) is a component of the large subunit of the eukaryotic ribosome. It is transcribed by RNA polymerase I as part of the 45S precursor that also contains 18S and 28S rRNA. Functionally, it is thought that 5.8S rRNA may be involved in ribosome translocation. Lineage: Eukaryota; Fungi. The record is from RNAcentral.